AGAGUUUGAUCCUGGCUCAGGAUGAACGCUGGCGGCGUGCUUAACACAUGCAAGUCGAACGAACCUUCGGGUUAGUGGCGGACGGGUGAGUAACGCGUGAGAAUCUGCCCUCAGGAGGGGGAUAACGGUUGGAAACGACCGCUAAUACCCCAUAUGCCGAUAGGUGAAAUGAAUUUCGCCUGAGGAUGAGCUCGCGUCUGAUUAGCUAGUUGGUGAGGUAAUGGCUCACCAAGGCUUCGAUCAGUAGCUGGUCUGAGAGGAUGAUCAGCCACACUGGGACUGAGACACGGCCCAGACUCCUACGGGAGGCAGCAGUGGGGAAUUUUCCGCAAUGGGCGAAAGCCUGACGGAGCAACGCCGCGUGAGGGACGAAGGCCUCUGGGCUGUAAACCUCUUUUCUCAAGGAAGAAGAUAUGACGGUACUUGAGGAAUAAGCCACGGCUAAUUCCGUGCCAGCAGCCGCGGUAAUACGGGAGUGGCAAGCGUUAUCCGGAAUUAUUGGGCGUAAAGCGUCCGCAGGCGGCUUAUCAAGUCUGCUGUUAAAACGUGGAGCUUAACUCCAUCAUGGCAGUGGAAACUGAUAGGCUUGAGUAUGGUAGGGGCAGAGGGAAUUCCCGGUGUAGCGGUGAAAUGCGUAGAUAUCGGGAAGAACACCAGUGGCGAAGGCGCUCUGCUGGGCCAUUACUGACGCUCAUGGACGAAAGCCAGGGGAGCGAAAGGGAUUAGAUACCCCUGUAGUCCUGGCCGUAAACGAUGAACACUAGGUGUCGGGGGAAUCGACCCCUUCGGUGUCGUAGCUAACGCGUUAAGUGUUCCGCCUGGGGAGUACGCACGCAAGUGUGAAACUCAAAGGAAUUGACGGGGGCCCGCACAAGCGGUGGAGUAUGUGGUUUAAUUCGAUGCAACGCGAAGAACCUUACCAGGGUUUGACAUCCUGCGAACCUCUUAGAAAUUUGAGGGUGCCUUCGGGAAUGCAGUGACAGGUGGUGCAUGGCUGUCGUCAGCUCGUGUCGUGAGAUGUUGGGUUAAGUCCCGCAACGAGCGCAACCCACGUUUUUAGUUGCCAGCAUUUAGUUGGGCACUCUAGAAAGACCGCCGGUGAUAAACCGGAGGAAGGUGUGGAUGACGUCAAGUCAUCAUGCCCCUUACACCCUGGGCUACACACGUACUACAAUGCUACGGACAAAGGGCAGCAAACUCGCGAGAGCUAGCAAAUCCCAUAAACCGUGGCUCAGUUCAGAUCGUAGGCUGCAACUCGCCUACGUGAAGUAGGAAUCGCUAGUAAUCGCAGGUCAGCAUACUGCGGUGAAUACGUUCCCGGGCCUUGUACACACCGCCCGUCACACCAUGGAAGUUGGCCAUGCCCGAAGUCGUUACUCCAACCCUUGUGGAGGAGGACGCCGAAGGUGGGGCUAAUGACUGGGGUGAAGUCGUAACAAGGUAGCCGUACCGGAAGGUGCGGCUG
This 1465-nucleotide ribosomal RNA is filed under the name Prochlorococcus sp. AG-347-J20. RNAcentral describes it as "bacterial SSU rRNA". It matches the Rfam family "Bacterial small subunit ribosomal RNA". Lineage: Bacteria; Bacillati; Cyanobacteriota; Cyanophyceae; Synechococcales; Prochlorococcaceae. The record is from RNAcentral.